GGACAGGUGUCCGAGUGGUUUAAGGAGCUGGUCUUGAAAACCAGUGAUACGGCAACGUACCGUGGGUUCGAAUCCCACCCUGUCCG
This 86-nucleotide transfer RNA is filed under the name Ruminococcus sp. RNAcentral's name for it is "tRNA-Ser". It matches the Rfam family "tRNA". Rfam says of the family: Transfer RNA (tRNA) molecules are approximately 80 nucleotides in length. Lineage: Bacteria; Bacillati; Bacillota; Clostridia; Eubacteriales; Oscillospiraceae. RNAcentral also lists the same sequence under 3 other names. The record is from RNAcentral.